This 337-nucleotide long non-coding RNA is filed under the name Elaeis guineensis (African oil palm). RNAcentral describes it as "long non-coding RNA (EGUI_LNC082299)". Lineage: Eukaryota; Viridiplantae; Streptophyta; Magnoliopsida; Arecales; Arecaceae. The record is from RNAcentral.
AGGCCAAUCACUAUCACCAGUUGUUAUCAUAGCAAAUUGCAGCCAUGGGUCACUGCCCUCUGGCCACCACCAUUGCUAGAUUAGCAUUUUCUUCCCCUUCCUUUAUUUGGGAGAAAACCUCCGUGGUUGUCUUGUUCUUACUCUUUCCUCUCUCUUUCUCUUUAUCUAUUCCUCUUUUCUACCAAGUCUAGGGGAUUUAGUCGAUGGUUUAGAUUUCUCAUCUAUGAACCUAAUUUGACUCAAGUAUGGUGUUCUGAAUUGUCAAUUUUUACUUUAUAACUUUUGCUAAUAAGUGGACCUGGUUUUUUAGAGGAGCAAUCAUUUAAUUCGGCAUGAA